Molecule: transfer RNA, 73 nt
Filed under: archaeon
Lineage: Archaea
Description: tRNA-Pro
Rfam family: tRNA
About the family: Transfer RNA (tRNA) molecules are approximately 80 nucleotides in length. Their secondary structure includes four short double-helical elements and three loops (D, anti-codon, and T loops).
Source: RNAcentral
GGGGCGUUAGUCUAGUCUGGUAGGAUCGUACCUUGGGGUGGUACUGGCGGGAGUUCAAAUCUUCCACGCCCCA